AUCUAUGGUGCAUGUCAUAACAACCGAUCAAACUACAUAGCCUACUACAAGGGGAAAAACUUUCACUUGCUUUUGAACCUUUUUCCCCCCAUUUUCUAAAUGCCCAAGACUACCAAUUGAGUUUGUCUGGAUAAAGCAUAAUCCAGUUAGUUAAGAGGAAAUCAAUAGGAACAUCUUAGGAUAAAGGCAUAGCAUUUGUAAUCAAUUUGACCAAGCAAAUUGAAUCUCAAACUUCAAAGAAUAUGUCAAACAAAACGACAAAACGACGAAAAA
This 273-nucleotide unclassified non-coding RNA is filed under the name Hevea brasiliensis (rubber tree). The record is from RNAcentral. Lineage: Eukaryota; Viridiplantae; Streptophyta; Magnoliopsida; Malpighiales; Euphorbiaceae.